GACGAACGCUGGCGGCGUGCUUAACACAUGCAAGUCGAACGGAAAGGCCCUGCUUUUGUGGGGUGCUCGAGUGGCGAACGGGUGAGUAACACGUGAGUAACCUGCCCUUGACUUUGGGAUAACUUCAGGAAACUGGGGCUAAUACCGGAUAGGAGCUCCUGCUGCAUGGUGGGGGUUGGAAAGUUUCGGCGGUUGGGGAUGGACUCGCGGCUUAUCAGCUUGUUGGUGGGGUAGUGGCUUACCAAGGCUUUGACGGGUAGCCGGCCUGAGAGGGUGACCGGCCACAUUGGGACUGAGAUACGGCCCAGACUCCUACGGGAGGCAGCAGUGGGGAAUAUUGCACAAUGGGCGGAAGCCUGAUGCAGCGACGCCGCGUGCGGGAUGACGGCCUUCGGGUUGUAAACCGCUUUCGCCUGUGACGAAGCGUGAGUGACGGUAAUGGGUAAAGAAGCACCGGCUAACUACGUGCCAGCAGCCGCGGUGAUACGUAGGGUGCGAGCGUUGUCCGGAUUUAUUGGGCGUAAAGGGCUCGUAGGUGGUUGAUCGCGUCGGAGGUGUAAUCUUGGGGCUUAACCCUGAGCGUGCUUUCGAUACGGGUUGACUUGAGGAAGGUAGGGGAGAAUGGAAUUCCUGGUGGAGCGGUGGAAUGCGCAGAUAUCAGGAGGAACACCAGUGGCGAAGGCGGUUCUCUGGGCCUUUCCUGACGCUGAGGAGCGGAAGCGUGGGGAGCGAACAGGCUUAGAUACCCUGGUAGUCCACGCUGUAAACGGUGGGUACUAGGUGUGGGGUCCAUUCCACGGGUUCCGUGCCGUAGCUAACGCUUUAAGUACCCCGCCUGGGGAGUACGGCCGCAAGGCUAAAACUCAAAGGAAUUGACGGGGCCCCGCACAAGCGGCGGAGCAUGCGGAUUAAUUCGAUGCAACGCGUAGAACCUUACCUGGGUUUGACAUGGAUCGGGAGUGCUCAGAGAUGGGUGUGCCUCUUUUGGGGUCGGUUCACAGGUGGUGCAUGGCUGUCGUCAGCUCGUGUCGUGAGAUGUUGGGUUAAGUCCCGCAACGAGCGCAACCCUUGUUCACUGUUGCCAGCACGUUAUGGUGGGGACUCAGUGGAGACCGCCGGGGUCAACUCGGAGGAAGGUGGGGAUGACGUCAAGUCAUCAUGCCCCUUAUGUCCAGGGCUUCACGCAUGCUACAAUGGCUGGUACAGAGAGUGGCGAGCCUGUGAGGGUGAGCGAAUCUCGGAAAGCCGGUCUCAGUUCGGAUUGGGGUCUGCAACUCGACCUCAUGAAGUCGGAGUCGCUAGUAAUCGCAGAUCAGCAACGCUGCGGUGAAUACGUUCCCGGGGCU
RNAcentral lists this ribosomal RNA (1346 nucleotides) under uncultured bacterium. Its description in RNAcentral is "partial 16S ribosomal RNA". It matches the Rfam family "Bacterial small subunit ribosomal RNA", at positions 28 to 1381 of the family's 1533-position model. The record is from RNAcentral.